Molecule: transfer RNA, 67 nt
Filed under: Gryllus veletis
Lineage: Eukaryota; Metazoa; Arthropoda; Insecta; Orthoptera; Gryllidae
Description: tRNA-Gln
Source: RNAcentral
UUGUAGUUGUAGGAAGACGCCGAAAAAAUUUUGAAUUUUUGCAAUUUUCGAAAAAUCAGGGUUUUCA